GUCGAGUGACACUGCGCCGAAAAUGUACCGGGGCUAAACAUAUUACCGAAGCUGUGGAUUGUCCUUUGGACAAUGGUAGGAGAGCGUUCUAAGGGCGUUGAAGCAUGAUCGUAAGGACAUGUGGAGCGCUUAGAAGUGAGAAUGCCGGUGUGAGUAGCGAAAGACGGGUGAGAAUCCCGUCCACCGAUUGACUAAGGUUUCCAGAGGAAGGCUCGUCCGCUCUGGGUUAGUCGGGUCCUAAGCUGAGGCCGACAGGCGUAGGCGAUGGAUAACAGGUUGAUAUUCCUGUACCACCUAUAAUCGUUUUAAUCGAUGGGGGGACGCAGUAGGAUAGGCGAAGCGUGCGAUUGGAUUGCACGUCUAAGCAGUAAGGCUGAGUAUUAGGCAAAUCCGGUACUCGUUAAGGCUGAGCUGUGAUGGGGAGAAGACAUUGAGUCUUCGAGUCGUUGAUUUCACACUGCCGAGAAAAGCCUCUAGAUAGAAAAUAGGUGCCCGUACCGCAAACCGACACAGGUAGUCAAGAUGAGAAUUCUAAGGUGAGCGAGCGAACUCUCGUUAAGGAACUCGGCAAAAUGACCCCGUAACUUCGGGAGAAGGGGUGCUCUUUAGGGUUAACGCCCAGAAGAGCCGCAGUGAAUAGGCCCAAGCGACUGUUUAUCAAAAACACAGGUCUCUGCUAAACCGUAAGGUGAUGUAUAGGGGCUGACGCCUGCCCGGUGCUGGAAGGUUAAGAGGAGUGGUUAGCUUCUGCGAAGCUACGAAUCGAAGCCCCAGUAAACGGCGGCCGUAACUAUAACGGUCCUAAGGUAGCGAAAUUCCUUGUCGGGUAAGUUCCGACCCGCACGAAAGGCGUAACGAUUUGGGCACUGUCUCAACGAGAGACUCGGUGAAAUCAUAGUACCUGUGAAGAUGCAGGUUACCCGCGACAGGACGGAAAGACCCCGUGGAGCUUUACUGUAGCCUGAUAUUGAAAUUCGGCACAGCUUGUACAGGAUAGGUAGGAGCCUUUGAAACGUGAGCGCUAGCUUACGUGGAGGCGCUGGUGGGAUACUACCCUAGCUGUGUUGGCUUUCUAACCCGCACCACUUAUCGUGGUGGGAGACAGUGUCAAGCGGGCAGUUUGACUGGGGCGGUCGCCUCCUAAAAGGUAACGGAGGCGCUCAAAGGUUCCCUCAGAAUGGUUGGAAAUCAUUCAUAGAGUGUAAAGGCAUAAGGGAGCUUGACUGCGAGACCUACAAGUCGAGCAGGGUCGAAAGACGGACUUAGUGAUCCGGUGGUUCCGCAUGGAAGGGCCAUCGCUCAACGGAUAAAAGCUACCCCGGGGAUAACAGGCUUAUCUCCCCCAAGAGUUCACAUCGACGGGGAGGUUUGGCACCUCGAUGUCGGCUCAUCGCAUCCUGGGGCUGUAGUCGGUCCCAAGGGUUGGGCUGUUCGCCCAUUAAAGCGGUACGCGAGCUGGGUUCAGAACGUCGUGAGACAGUUCGGUCCCUAUCCGUCGUGGGCGUAGGAAAUUUGAGAGGAGCUGUCCUUAGUACGAGAGGACCGGGAUGGACAUACCUCUGGUGUACCAGUUGUCGUGCCAACGGCAUAGCUGGGUAGCUAUGUGUGGACGGGAUAAGUGCUGAAAGCAUCUAAGCAUGAAGCCCCCCUCAAGAUGAGAUUUCCCAACUUCGGUUAUAAGAUCCCUCAAAGAUGAUGAGGUUAAUAGGUUCGAGGUGGAAGCAUGGUGACAUGUGGAGCUGACGAAUACUAAUCGAUCGAAGACUUAAUCAA
RNAcentral lists this ribosomal RNA (1773 nucleotides) under Staphylococcus aureus T28847. RNAcentral describes it as "bacterial LSU rRNA". It matches the Rfam family "Bacterial large subunit ribosomal RNA", at positions 1148 to 2925 of the family's 2925-position model. The record is from RNAcentral. Lineage: Bacteria; Bacillati; Bacillota; Bacilli; Caryophanales; Staphylococcaceae.